UACGUAGGGUGCGAGCGUUGUCCGGAAUUACUGGGCGUAAAGAGCUCGUAGGUGGUUUGUCACGUCGUCUGUGAAAUUCCGGGGCUUAACCUCGGGCGUGCAGGCGAUACGGGCAAUACUUGAGUGCUGUAGGGGAGACUGGAAUUCCUGGUGUAGCGGUGAAAUGCGCAGAUAUCAGGAGGAACACCAAUGGCGAAGGCAGGUCUCUGGGCAGUUACUGACGCUGAGGAGCGAAAGCGUGGGGAUCGAACAGGAUUAGAUA
Molecule: ribosomal RNA, 262 nt
Filed under: uncultured prokaryote
Description: partial 16S ribosomal RNA
Rfam family: Bacterial small subunit ribosomal RNA
Source: RNAcentral